RNAcentral lists this ribosomal RNA (253 nucleotides) under uncultured bacterium. Its description in RNAcentral is "partial 16S ribosomal RNA". It matches the Rfam family "Bacterial small subunit ribosomal RNA", at positions 524 to 776 of the family's 1533-position model. The record is from RNAcentral.
UACGAAGGGGGCUAGCGUUGCUCGGAAUCACUGGGCGUAAAGGGUGCGUAGGCGGGUCUUUAAGUCCGGGGUGAAAUCCUGGAGCUCAACUCCAGAACUGCCUUUGAUACUGAGGAUCUUGAGUUCGGGAGAGGUGAGUGGAACUGCGAGUGUAGAGGUGAAAUUCGUAGAUAUUCGCAAGAACACCAGUGGCGAAGGCGGUUCUCUGGGACGGUACUGACGCUGAGACGCGAAAGCGUGGGGAGCGAACAGG